This 438-nucleotide ribosomal RNA is filed under the name uncultured bacterium. RNAcentral describes it as "bacterial SSU rRNA". It matches the Rfam family "Bacterial small subunit ribosomal RNA", at positions 954 to 1392 of the family's 1533-position model. The record is from RNAcentral.
UGGGAACGCGAAGAACCUUACCAAGUCUUGACAUCGGAAUGACCGUCUCGUAACGGAGACUUCCCUUCGGGGCAUUCCAGACAGGUGGUGCAUGGUUGUCGUCAGCCCGUGUCGUGAGAUGUUGGGUUAAGUCCCGCAACGAGCGCAACCCUUAUCCUUAGUAGCCAGCAGUUCGGCUGGGCACUCUGGGGAGACUGCCAGGGAUAACCUGGAGGAAGGUGGGGAUGACGUCAAAUCAUCAUGCCCCUUAUGAUUUGGGCUACACACGUGCUACAAUGGCGUAAACAAAGGGAAGCGAAGGAGUGAUCUGGAGCAAAUCUCAAAAAUAACGUCUCAGUUCGGAUUGUAGUCUGCAACUCGACUACAUGAAGCUGGAAUCGCUAGUAAUCGCGGAUCAGAAUGCUGCGGUGAAUACGUUCCCGGGUCUUGUACACACCG